This 515-nucleotide ribosomal RNA is filed under the name uncultured bacterium. RNAcentral describes it as "partial 16S ribosomal RNA". It matches the Rfam family "Bacterial small subunit ribosomal RNA", at positions 28 to 523 of the family's 1533-position model. The record is from RNAcentral.
GAUGAACGCUGGCGGCGUGCCUAAUACAUGCAAGUCGAGCGAAUGGAUUAAGAGCUUGCUCUUAUGAAGUUAGCGGCGGACGGGUGAGUAACACGUGGGUAACCUGCCCAUAAGACUGGGAUAGCUCCGGGAAACCGGGGCUAAUACCGGAUAACAUUUUGAACCGCAUGGUUCGAAAUUGAAAGGCGGCUUCGGCUGUCACUUAUGGAUGGACCCGCGUCGCAUUAGCUAGUUGGUGAGGUAACGGCUCACCAAGGGAACGAUGCGUAGCCGGCCUGAGAGAGUGAUCGGCCAACCUGGGACUGAGACCCGGCCCAGACUCCUACGGGAGGCAGCAGUAGGGAAUCUUCCGCAAUGGACGAAAGUCUGACGGAGCAACGCCGCGUGAGUGAUGAAGGCUUUCGGGUCGUAAAACUCUGUUGUUAGGGAAGAACAAGUGCUAGUUGAAUAAGCUGACACCUUGACGGUACCUAACCAGAAAGCCACGGCUAACUACGUGCCAGCAGCCGCCGUAA